AACGCAUCUUGCACCCUUUGGUAUUCUGAAGGGUACACUUGUUUGAGUGUCAUUGUAAUCUCACCUCAACAACUUUCUGUGGUUGAGUGUGGACUUGGAUGUUGCUGUGUAUUUUACAGCUCAUUUAAAAUGCCUGAGUGUAUCCUACUUUGCAGUGUAUCCAGUGUGAUAAGCAUCUUCACUGGACUUUGAGUCUCUUCAGGCACACUUAUAUUGUAGGCUCUAUGCUACAAACUGUCUUUGGACAAACUUUGACAAUUUGACCUCAAAUCAAGUGGGACUACCCGCUGAACUUAA
RNAcentral lists this unclassified non-coding RNA (297 nucleotides) under uncultured fungus. RNAcentral describes it as "sequence contains ITS2". The record is from RNAcentral. Lineage: Eukaryota; Fungi.